This 497-nucleotide ribosomal RNA is filed under the name uncultured bacterium. RNAcentral's name for it is "partial 16S ribosomal RNA". It matches the Rfam family "Bacterial small subunit ribosomal RNA", at positions 28 to 507 of the family's 1533-position model. The record is from RNAcentral.
GAUGAACGCUGGCGGCGUGCCUAAUACAUGCCAGUCGAGCGAACGGACGAGAAGCUUGCUUCUCUGAUGUUAGCGGCGGACGGGUGAGUAACACGUGGAUAACCUACCUAUAAGACUGGGAUAACUUCGGGAAACCGGAGCUAAUACCGGAUGAUAUUUUGAACCGCAUGGUUCAAAAGUGAAAGACGGUCUUGCUGUCACUUAUAGAUGGAUCCGCGCUGCAUUAGCUAGUUGGUAAGGUAAUGGCUUACCAAGGCAACGAUGCAUAGCCGACCUGAGAGGGUGAUCGGCCACACGGGAACUGAGACGCGGACCAGACUCCUGCGGGAGGCAGCAGUAGGGAAUCUGCCGCAAUGGGCGAGAGCCUGACGGAGCAACGCCGCGUGAGUGAUGAAGGUCUUCGGAUCGUAAAACUCUGUUAUGAGGGAAGAACAUAUGUGUAAGUAACUGUGCACAUCUUGACGGUACCUAAUCAGAAAGCCACGGCUAACUACGUG